RNAcentral lists this long non-coding RNA (347 nucleotides) under Rosa chinensis. RNAcentral describes it as "sRNA RchiOBHm_Chr0c03g0497851". Lineage: Eukaryota; Viridiplantae; Streptophyta; Magnoliopsida; Rosales; Rosaceae. The record is from RNAcentral.
GUCCUUGUCACAAAUGAGCUGAAAUGAGCUCACAAAUGGAGAGAGAAGCUAGCCAACGUUGGAGGGAGACAAGAUGAAGUACAAAGGGAAGCACAAAUGAGCAGAAAUGAAGAAGUGAAGCUUUCCUGGUCCAACCAGGAAACCCUGUCCAGAAAAGGAAAGCUUGCCAAAACAAGACUCUUGAGCCAACCAAGAAUGGAGAUCGAAUUAAUGAAGUGACAUGGCAUGAGAGAAGCUUCUUGAAUACUCUAGAUGAUGACAUGGCAUAAAGGUGACACACAAAGGCCCAAGAACUCUCAAGAGGUUAUGGAUUUCGGCAAAUGGAUAAAGGCCCAUGGAAAUUAGGG